UUUUCCAAUUGCAUGUCUAAAUCCCUUGGUUUCUCAAAAUUUUCCAAAACCGAAACCUACCGAAGGUUCGGGUUCGGUUUUUCAAAAUUUUGUUGAACCGAAACCNAAACCGAAACCUACCGAAGGUUCGGGUUCGGUUUUUCAAAAUUUUGUUGAACCGAAACCAACCGAACGCUCGGGUUCGGUUUUUCAAAAUUUUGUUGAACCGAAACCAACCGAACGCUCGGGUUCGGUUUUUCAAAAUUUUCUGGAACCGAAACCAACCGAACGCUCGGGUUCGGUUUUUCAACUUUUUCCCAACCGAAACCAACCGGACGUUCGGGUUCGGUUUUUCACAUUCUUUUUCAAGUUUUUUUAAGUCUUAUUUUUUUUCUUACUUAUUUUUUUAAUUUUAAUUUAUUUUUUUUUCUUUUUCCUUCUAUAAUAAAUCUCAAAAACUCCAAAAAUAAUUUUUUAUUUUGUUGUGUGUUCGUUCGUUUAUGG
Molecule: long non-coding RNA, 483 nt
Filed under: Lactuca sativa (garden lettuce)
Lineage: Eukaryota; Viridiplantae; Streptophyta; Magnoliopsida; Asterales; Asteraceae
Description: long non-coding RNA (LSAT_LNC010263)
Source: RNAcentral